UACAGAGUAAAGUGGUGUCUGUUCCAGCGUCCGGACUUAGUUCCAUAUUUGGACAUGGGAUGGAUUAAGUGGAAGGACUCCUGCAUAGAAGGGGUUCUUCCUUCUUAUCUAGGAACCCCGUCCCGCCCAUGGAAUCAAAGACGGUGAGUUGUUAAAUCUAAAAAUAUCGCUGAUUUUUCCAAAUCAUCGAAACGAAUUAAAUUAUCAUUGUCAGAAGUUUAUCUACGUGCUUAGGGUAGAAGAACCUUUCUCAAAGGAAGAUUGUGUCCUGAGUGAGCUCAAAAGGGAAUAAAUUUACCUUCUUCCUUUUUAUUUAUAAGUUAGUCCAAGUAAAUGGA
Cimex lectularius (bed bug) is the source of this 338-nucleotide long non-coding RNA. RefSeq lists it as uncharacterized. The transcript is spliced from 3 exons. The record is from RefSeq and is a predicted model, not a curated record. NCBI's taxonomy places the organism in Eukaryota, Metazoa, Arthropoda, Insecta, Hemiptera, Cimicidae.